GACGAACGCUGGCGGCGUGCCUAAUACAUGCCAGUAGAACGCUGAAGGAGGAGCUUGCUCUUCUGGAUGAGUUGCGAACGGGUGAGUAACGCGUAGGUAACCUGCCUGGUAGCGGGGGAUAACUAUUGGAAACGAUAGCUAAUACCGCAUAACAGUAGAUGUUGCAUGACAUUUACUUAAAAGGUGCAAUUGCAUCACUACCAGAUGGACCUGCGUUGUAUUAGCUAGUUGGUGGGGUAACGGCUCACCAAGGCGACGAUACAUAGCCGACCUGAGAGGGUGAUCGGCCACACUGGGACUGAGACACGGCCCAGGCUCCUACGGGAGGCAGCAGUAGGGAAUCUUUGGCAAUGGACGGAAGUCUGACCGAGCAACGCCGCGUGAGGGAAGAAGGGUUUCGGAUCGUAAAGCUCUGUUGUAAGGGAAGAACGAGUGUGGGAGUGGAAAGUUCACACUGUGACGGUAUCUUACCAGAAAGGGACGGCUAACUACGUG
RNAcentral lists this ribosomal RNA (495 nucleotides) under uncultured bacterium. RNAcentral describes it as "partial 16S ribosomal RNA". It matches the Rfam family "Bacterial small subunit ribosomal RNA", at positions 28 to 507 of the family's 1533-position model. The record is from RNAcentral.